GACGAACGCUGGCGGCGUGCUUAACACAUGCAAGUCGAACGGAAAGGCCCUGCUUUUGUGGGGUGCUCGAGUGGCGAACGGGUGAGUAACACGUGAGUAACCUGCCCUUGACUUUGGGAUAACUUCAGUAAACUGGGGCUAAUACCGGAUAGGAGCUCCUGCUGCAUGGUGGGGGUUGGAAAGUUUCGGCGGUUGGGGAUGGACUCGCGGCUUAUCAGCUUGUUGGUGGGGUAGUGGCUUACCAAGGCUUUGACGGGUAGCCGGCCUGAGGGGGUGACCGGCCACAUUGGGACUGAGAUACGGCCCAGACUCCUACGGGAGGCAGCAGUGGGGAAUAUUGCACAAUGGGCGGAAGACUGAUGCAGCAACGCCGCGUGCGGGAUGACGGACUUCGGGUUGUAAACCGCUUUCGCCUGUGACGAAGCGUGAGUGACGGUAAUGGGUAAAGAAGCACCGGCUAACUACGUG
Molecule: ribosomal RNA, 468 nt
Filed under: uncultured bacterium
Lineage: Bacteria
Description: partial 16S ribosomal RNA
Rfam family: Bacterial small subunit ribosomal RNA
Source: RNAcentral